GUUGUGUGCUGCCUGUGACACCGUGAUCUGGGGAGGGAUAACGCAAGAGACGUAUAAGCAAGGAGGACGCUAGCUGGGCGGGACGGCAGUACAAGGAUGACGAGGCGGUGGCGGAGUGGUUAGCGUGUCGACCUGGUGAUCCCGUGGUCCCAGGUUCGAGUCCCGCCAUACUAGGACGCUGACAAGGCUCUAUACAUGUUGUUCUGAUCAUCUCGUAACUCUUGACUUCAGUAAGAGUCAUACAUCACGGGAGACGAAGGAGGGGCGUUGCUGCACUCACCCGCCCACACGGUUAACCCAGACAAGCUUAUGAUAAACAGAGCGAAAUACAAGGACACACUCUGCUUCUGCCUCUACAAAGGGUUACAAAAAAGCCAGCCAAGAGGUCGAUGUCAGUAUAGGAGGAACCUCGCGAACUACAUCCAGAGCUUUUGAGACCAGCCUGCACCCUUGACUGAUGUGACGAUGCCGUGUGGGAUAAUUAUGGAGACUGGUGGAAGAAGAGAAGUGUGACAAAUAUUGAAUAGAAGAGAAUGUGCAAGGUGGUGGUGAUGGCUGCCUCCUCCUCCUCCUCAUCUUCGUCCUCGUCCUCCUCCUCCUCCUCCUCCUCCUCCUCCUUCUCCUCCAAUCAUCGCUGGAUCUGCCUUCUCCUCCACGCUUCUGAAUGAUAUCUUCAAUUACCUGUACUUCCACGUGAUAAGG
Eriocheir sinensis (Chinese mitten crab) is the source of this 702-nucleotide long non-coding RNA. RefSeq lists it as uncharacterized. The record is from RefSeq and is a predicted model, not a curated record. NCBI's taxonomy places the organism in Eukaryota, Metazoa, Arthropoda, Malacostraca, Decapoda, Varunidae. The transcript has 6 exons.